Molecule: long non-coding RNA, 269 nt
Filed under: Gossypium raimondii (Peruvian cotton)
Lineage: Eukaryota; Viridiplantae; Streptophyta; Magnoliopsida; Malvales; Malvaceae
Description: long non-coding RNA (GRAI_LNC004729)
Source: RNAcentral
CACACCGCCGCUGCCUCCUCUACGUCAGCACCUCCGUACAGCCACGUCGACCUCCGUACCUGCAAGGAUAGCACACAGAAGGAGACAAACGAAAAACAAAAAAUAACAGUUGUAUUCUUGGCUAUAAAAAGCCCUAAAAAUAGUGAUGUAAGGAUCAUAUUUUUUUUUAAAAAUACGAAUAUAAAAAAGUAAAAAAGAAACAUCAAACCUUUUUUGAGGUAGUCUCAUAUUCUUUCUUUUAUUUUAUUUUUGUUUGAUUUUGUAACACC